Molecule: ribosomal RNA, 471 nt
Filed under: uncultured Bacteroidota bacterium
Lineage: Bacteria; Pseudomonadati; Bacteroidota
Description: bacterial SSU rRNA
Rfam family: Bacterial small subunit ribosomal RNA
Source: RNAcentral
AACGCUAGCGGCAGGCUUAACACAUGCAAGUCGAGGGGUAACAGGAUAGCUUGCUAUUGCUGACGACCGGCGCACGGGUGCGUAACGCGUAUACAAUCUACCUUAUACUGGGGUAUAGCCUUUAGAAAUGAAGAUUAACCCCCCAUAGUCUCUUAGAGUGGCAUCACUUUUGGAGUAAAGGUUACGGUAUAAGAUGAGUAUGCGUUCUAUUAGUUUGUUGGUGUGGUAACGGCACACCAAGACUGCGAUAGAUAGGGGCCCUGAGAGGGGGAUCCCCCACACUGGUACUGAGACACGGACCAGACUCCUACGGGAGGCAGCAGUGAGGAAUAUUGGACAAUGGAGGCAACUCUGAUCCAGCCAUGCCGCGUGCAGGAAGACUGCCCUAUGGGUUGUAAACUGCUUUUAUACAGGAAGAAACACCUCUACGUGUAGAGGCUUGACGGUACUGUAAGAAUAAGGAUCGGCUAA